UGCAUUCACACUGUAAGUCGCUCUGGAUAAGAGUGUCUGCUAAAUGUAAAAAA
Non-coding RNA from Salmo salar (Atlantic salmon), 53 nucleotides. Lineage: Eukaryota; Metazoa; Chordata; Actinopteri; Salmoniformes; Salmonidae. The record is from Rfam.